This is a long non-coding RNA of Ailuropoda melanoleuca (giant panda), 447 nucleotides long. RefSeq lists it as uncharacterized. Lineage: Eukaryota; Metazoa; Chordata; Mammalia; Carnivora; Ursidae. The transcript has 3 exons. The record is from RefSeq and is a predicted model, not a curated record.
CUCAUUGUAUUGGUCAGUCUGAGGAUAUAACAGAGACAUGUGUUACAGACAGAAUCAUAAUAUUUUAAACAUUAGCUCAUCUUACCACUUCAAGACACAAAUGAAGAGCCACAACUCCAUAAGGUGUUCCCAUUGGGACAGCAAUUGUAAAAACUGCAAAAUAUCUCCUGUGCACAGACCUCUGUUUUAAAGAACAAGGGAUUCGCCUUAGCACACAGCCCAGCCGACUCCCUGAGCUGCUGUUAAGCAGGUGAGGCACUCCCAGAUGGUGAUAGCUUUGCCUUGGAACCUCCCUGAAAGAUCUUCCGCUCGGGGCUCCCAGAUCCCAAUGACCACACGAGACCACGCACCUUGCAAUCCUGCCUUGAACACUUGAAUGAGAUCCCAUGCUACGGAACUUGAGCAAUAUUUUCACAAAUCAGGCUGAAAUGGCAAAAUGAAUAUAAU